Molecule: long non-coding RNA, 1398 nt
Filed under: Oncorhynchus mykiss (rainbow trout)
Lineage: Eukaryota; Metazoa; Chordata; Actinopteri; Salmoniformes; Salmonidae
Description: lncRNA (ENSOMYG00000047934.1)
Source: RNAcentral
AUGUACGUAGUACCACUGUAUGUUUGUAUGUACGUAGUACCACUGUAUGUUUGUAAGUACGUAGUACCACUGUAUGUUUGUAUAUACGUAGUACCACUGUAUGUUUGUAUGGAAGUAGUACCUCUGUAUGUUUGUAUGUAUGUAGUACCACUGUAUGUUUGUAUGUACGUAGUACCACUGUAUGUUUGUAUGUACGUAGUACCACUGUAUGUUUGUAUGUACGUAGUACCACUGUAUGUACGUAGUACCACUGUAUGUUUGUAUGGACGUAGUACCACUGUAUGUUUGUAUGUAUGUAGUACCACUGUAUGUUUGUAUGUACGUAGUACCACUGUAUGUUUGUAUGUACGUAGUACCACUGUAUGUUUGUAUGUACGUAGUACCACUGUAUGUUUGUAUGUACGUAGUACCACUGUAUGUUAUUAUGUACGUAGUACCACUGUAUGUUAUUAUGUACGCAGUACCACUGUAUGUUUGUAUGUAUGUAGUACCACUGUAUGUUAUUAUGUACGUAGUACCACUGUAUGUUUGUAUGUAUGUAGUACCACUGUAUGUUUGUAUGUACGUAGUACCACUGUAUGUUAUUAUGUACGCAGUACCACUGUAUGUUUGUAUGUAUGUAGUACCACUGUAUGUUAUUAUGUACGUAGUACCACUGUAUGUUAUUAUGUACGUAGUACCACUGUAUGUUAUUAUGUACGUAGUACCACUGUAUGUUUGUAUGUAUGUAGUACCACUGUAUGUUUGUAUGUAUGUAGUACCACUGUAUGUUAUUAUGUACGUAGUACCACUGUAUGUUAUUAUGUACGUAGUACCACUGUAUGUUAUUAUGUACGCAGUACCACUGUAUGUUUUUAUGUACGUAGUACCACUGUAUGUUUGUAUGUACGUAGUACCACUGUAUGUUAUUAUGUACGUAGUACCACUGUAUGUUAUUAUGUACGUAGUACCACUGUAUGUUAUUAUGUACGUAGUACCACUGUAUGUUAUUAUGUACGUAGUACCACUGUAUGUUAUUAUGUAUGUAGUACCACUGUAUGUUUGUAUGUAUGUAGUACCACUGUAUGUUUGUAUGUACGUAGUACCACUGUAUGUUUGUAUGUACGUAGUACCACUGUAUGUUAUUAUGUACGUAGAACCACUGUAUGUUAUUAUGUACGUAGUACCACUGUAUGUUAUUAUGUACGUAGUACCACUGUAUGUUAUUAUGUACGUAGUACCACUGAAUGUUUGUAUGUAUGUAGUACCACUGUAUGUUUGUAUGUACGUAGUACCACUGUAUGUUAUUAUGUACGCAGUACCACUGUAUGUUUGUAUGUAUGUAGUACCACUGUAUGUUUGUAUGUACGUAGUACCACUGUAUGUUAUUAUGUACGCAGUACCACUGUAUGUACGUAG